This 501-nucleotide ribosomal RNA is filed under the name uncultured bacterium. RNAcentral describes it as "partial 16S ribosomal RNA". It matches the Rfam family "Bacterial small subunit ribosomal RNA", at positions 29 to 523 of the family's 1533-position model. The record is from RNAcentral.
AAUAAACGCUGGCGGCGUGCCUAACACAUGCAAGUCGGAUGUGCCGCAAGGUGCAUGGCAGACGGGUGAGUAACGCGUGGGGAAUCUACCUUUUUGUGGGGAAUAACGCUCCGAAAGGAAUGGUAAUACCGCAUGUGAUCACAGUUUGGGAUAGCUGUGAUGAAAGCUGGGGACCGCAAGGCCUAGCGCAAGAAGAGGAACCUGCGUCUGAUUAGCUAGUUGGCGGGGUAAUGGCCCACCAAGGCGACGAUCAGUAGCCGGCCUGAGAGGGUGAUCGGCCACACUGGAACUGAGACACGGUCCAGACUCCUACGGGAGGCAGCAGUGGGGAAUUUUGCGCAAUGGACGAAAGUCUGACGCAGCAACGCCGCGUGGGUGAUGAAGGUCUUCGGAUCGUAAAACCCUGUCGUCAGGGACGAAGGUAAUGUGCCUAAUACGCAUGUUGCUUGACGGUACCUGGAGAGGAAGCCCCGGCUAACUCUGUGCCAGCAGCCGCGGUAA